RNAcentral lists this ribosomal RNA (509 nucleotides) under Salmonella enterica. RNAcentral's name for it is "bacterial SSU rRNA". It matches the Rfam family "Bacterial small subunit ribosomal RNA", at positions 185 to 710 of the family's 1533-position model. Lineage: Bacteria; Pseudomonadati; Pseudomonadota; Gammaproteobacteria; Enterobacterales; Enterobacteriaceae. The record is from RNAcentral.
UGCAUGGGUAUGGUGUGGAAAGUUUUUCGGUCUGGGAUGGACUCGCGGCCUAUCAGCUUGUUGGUGAGGUAAUGGCUCACCAAGGCGACGACGGGUAGCCGGCCUGAGAGGGCGACCGGCCACACUGGGACUGAGACACGGCCCAGACUCCUACGGGAGGCAGCAGUGGGGAAUAUUGCACAAUGGGCGAAAGCCUGAUGCAGCGACGCCGCGUGAGGGAUGACGGCCUUCGGGUUGUAAACCUCUUUCAGCAGGGAAGAAGCGCAAGUGACGGUACCUGCAGAAGAAGCACCGGCUAACUACGUGCCAGCAGCCGCGGUAAUACGUAGGGUGCGAGCGUUGUCCGGAAUUAUUGGGCGUAAAGAGCUUGUAGGCGGUUUGUCGCGUCUGCCGUGAAAAUUCGAGGCUCAACCUCGAACUUGCGGUGGGUACGGGCAGACUAGAGUGUGGUAGGGGAGACUGGAAUUCCUGGUGUAGCGGUGAAAUGCGCAGAUAUCAGGAGGAACACC